This 123-nucleotide transfer RNA is filed under the name Ustulina deusta. RNAcentral's name for it is "Kretzschmaria deusta tRNA-Trp". The record is from RNAcentral. Lineage: Eukaryota; Fungi; Ascomycota; Sordariomycetes; Xylariales; Xylariaceae.
UCCUCCGUGGCGCAAUUGGCUAGCGCGUCGUAAGUUUAACUCCAACACUUCUCGUGACAAAUGGCUUACCAUCCGCAGUGACUGUUAAUCAGGAGGUUGAAAGUUCGAGCCUUUCCGGGGGAG